RNAcentral lists this ribosomal RNA (256 nucleotides) under uncultured bacterium. Its description in RNAcentral is "partial 16S ribosomal RNA". It matches the Rfam family "Bacterial small subunit ribosomal RNA", at positions 524 to 776 of the family's 1533-position model. The record is from RNAcentral.
GACGUAGGGUGCGAGCGUUUGUCCGGAUUUAUUGGGCGUAAAGAGCUCGUAGGCGGCUUGUCGCGUCGAAUGUGAAAUCCCGAGGCUCAACCUCGGGCUUGCAGUGGGUACGGGGCAGACUAGAGUGCGGUAGGGGGAGACUGGAAUUCCUGGUGUAGCGGUGGAAUGCGCAGAUAUCAGGAGGAACACCGAUGGCGAAGGCAGGUCUCUGGGCCGCAACUGACGCUGAGGAGCGAAAGCAUGGGGAGCGAACAGG